Molecule: ribosomal RNA, 408 nt
Filed under: uncultured bacterium
Lineage: Bacteria
Description: partial 16S ribosomal RNA
Rfam family: Bacterial small subunit ribosomal RNA
Source: RNAcentral
GACGAACGCUGGCGGCGUGCUUAACACAUGCAAGUCGAACGAAGUGGCGAACGGGUGAGUAACGCAUAAUCAACCUGCCCUUCAGAGGGGGACAACAGUUGGAAACGACUGCUAAUACCGCAUACUGAAGGAGGGGAUUGCGUCUGAUUAGAUAGUUGGCGGGGUAACGGCCCACCAAGGCGAUGAUCAGGCGCCGGUCUGGGAGGAUGCACGGCCACAUGGGGACUGAGACACGGCCCAGACUCCUACGUGAGGCAGCAGUGGGGAAUCUUCCGCAAGGGAUGAAAGUCUGACGGAGCAACGCCGCGUGAGUGAUGACGGCCUUCGGGUGGUAAAGCUCUGUUAAUCGGGACGCGGUACCGGAAUAGAAAGCCACGGCUAACUACGUGCCAGCAGCCGCGGUAAUUC